Equus caballus (horse) is the source of this 6409-nucleotide long non-coding RNA. Lineage: Eukaryota; Metazoa; Chordata; Mammalia; Perissodactyla; Equidae. The record is from Ensembl.
GCCCAUGCUGCCCACCGGAGUCUCUUCAUCUAUGAACAGGUAGAUCUCUCUGCCCUAUUUUAUCCAAGAUUUAUGAACGAAUCGCGAUAAUAGAGUUUCAAUACUAUAUCUGCACAUGUUUUGUUAAGUUGGAUGAGUAACAUGCAUGUCAUAUCAUAGAGAUCUUUUUAAUUUUUGUUACUCUUUCCAUUCAGAAUUUUAAUGACAAACUUCCCAAAGUGUUCAUCCCAGUCCAGGUGGGCUCCCAUGACAAGAUGCCAUGGACUAGGCAGCAUCAACUCCUGGAUUUAUUUUUCUUAGUUCCUGAGGUCAGAAAUCCAAGAUCCAGGGGUGGUGAGGUAGGUUUCAUCUAGAGGCCGCAUCCCUCUGUGCUCACGGGACCUCUUCUUUGUGCAGGCAGAGACGACGGAGAGCUCUCUUACAAGGGCAGUAAUCCCAUCACAGGGCCCCACCCUCAUGACCUUGUCUAACCCUAACCCUCCCAAGGCCCCCCCUCCAAACACCUUCACAUGGGGAGUUAGGGCGUCAACAUACAAAUUUGGGGCGGUGGGUGCAGGUGCACAUAUUCCAUCCAUACAAACUUGCCCAUUUAAGGACGUAUUUUCCUUGUAGAUCUUCACUGGAAAGAGGAAACUUUUUAGUAGUAAGAGGAUAAAAAUCUCUGUCAUCCCAAUUGACCCAAGGUCUUCAAAAGAACGACUCUAUUAAAGCAGGAACUCAACAUCUCCGUUUUAAUUUUCCAUAGUUCCUUACUCACACCAUCCAGCUUUAAACCCAUGUGACUCCACAAGGGUGUUCAUUCUCUUUUUUAAUUAGUUAUGUCUCCCUUAGGACAACGAAGACAUUGGUAUUAACACUUUCCAAAUGCCAUUUAUUAUCAUUCCAGAAGGACACUAUUUGCAGAACCACCCUAUAACCAGGCCAGAAUAACACAUCAUUAAUGGCUUCAGGAAAAGAAAAUGUAUCAAUUAAAGCACAAUUCUUUUAUAAAAAGAAAAUAAUUAGCCAAAAGCCCACAUGUUGGCAGAUACUGUUAUUUCACAGCAGAUUUAAUGUGGUGGCAACACAACUGAUUUUGGAAGUGAAAAUAAUCGAGGCUGCAGACACACGUGGCACUGAAAAUAGGAUUUUCUCCCGUUGGAGGGUUGAGAUGCACUGUUAACUAAAACACUGAUUUCUAUACCCAGCAACCCUGAGGCAAUCUUAACAGAGAGGAUCAGAGAAUGCUCUGUCUCCAUGGCAGCCCAGCAUCUGUGGGGCUCUGCUGUUGGUGUUAGAUGUUGUGUUGCUCGCUGAGAGGUUGCCAAGCUGUAACUGCACAACCAUGACAUAAAGCGAUUGACCUAGUACCCGUAGCUUUGAAGCUGGACAUCUAAAAUGCAGCAGCAUAGACUAAUUAAGUAUAGACUACACUGCUCCCAAAAUAGUAAGACAAUCAAUGCAGGAGAAGCAGGUCCUUCAGUUCAUGCUGUGGAGCUCGGGCUCUGAGCUGGGCACUGUGCUGGGUGCAGAGUUGGACUUGAUGUGAAGGAGAGUGGUGCACAACUGACGAUGAUGCAACUGAGAAGGCUCGGUGGAGGCUUCAUGGAAGAAACAAACGACCUGGACUUCGAAGAACAGAGAGAACUCGCCACAAAGGGAAAGUGCAGGAGAGGUACGUGAACAGCUCUAUUGAAUCGGGGUGCAGGGUGGUCAAAGGGAAGGGAGGGGUCAUCAGUUCCAAGGCAGCUAAAGCCCUGAGAAGGAUGUUGAAGGCCAGGUCGAUUCAUGGGAAGCCGGUGCUGCUUUUGAGAAGGGGACGAUACCCUCGUAAGUAGGAGAAAUACACUUUGUCUAUCGCAUCAGAUACACUCGAGACUCAGGUCGCAGGCAGGACAUUUAAGAGGUCUUUGGAAAAGUCUGGUCAGGGCUGACAGGAGCGGAGUAACGGCAUCUUCAGAGGGAACGCUGAGGAAGGCGGGCCUUGCAGGGCUUGUCGGGCCGGACUGGAGCCCUGCACGUGAAGGAGCGGGGGCAGAUGAAGGACGCUGCAGGGCCGGAGACGAGGCAGGGGCGGACAAGGACGGACACACCCGCGGCUCCCGCAGCAGCACGGUUUCUCGGCCGAGAGGCUGCGACACGGCAGGAGGGCCCUGGAGUCAGGCCCCCCGCCCCGCAGGCCCUUCCCAGCCGGCUGAGGCCCCCUUCGUGGGCGCGGAGCCCUCCUCGGGAAGAGGCUUUGACGACGCCCGUCGGCCGUCUCCGGGUUAGAAUCGUGGAACGGAAGGCAGAAGUCUGUGAAAGGCACUUGGCGCUUCAGGGCAAGAGCGUCACACAGGCGGGCACGCGCCAGGCCCCGCGCUGUGAUCCGCUGACGAGGGGGCGCGCACGAAGGCUCGGGGCCCAGCCACACGCACACCAGGACGCGCAGGCGCUGGGUGCGCACGACGGUCCGCGCGAGGACCGGAGAGGCGACCCCGCGCGGCCCUCGCGGCGGGAAAGCGGUGAGACGCACGUGCCGCGUCGAACAGGGCGCCGUCCGCAGUGGAGGCUGGAGGCCGGGGCUGUUGCGAGCGUUUUCCCUGAACGCCAGGCAUGGAAAUGGUGGCACGCGAACAAUAAGUCAGGUCGGGCCGGCAGUGGGACUGUAGUUUCCUGAUUUCUACCCUCUUCCGUUUCUGGAGAGGUCACUGGUUUUUCUUUUUUCGAUCUUCAUCAGAAAAAGUGAGCCUGAAGCCCACCCUCAGGUCAGAGCGCGGGGCUGGGGAGGAAGAAAGAGGCGCGCGCGCUCCGGGCUUCAAAGCUGGGCCUCGAUGAAGGGAAACAACGCUUAUAUUGUAUCUCACACAAUUUCAGGACUUACUGGGUUGACAGAGAAAAGCAAUUUACAUUAUAUGAGGAAGAAUUGUCUGGAAAGGAGCCCUCUGUAACAAUGACUGACAUCUAUACACUCCUUUAGCAUUUGCAGACACUCCGACGUGACUUCUCUCGGACACACGGGCUUCCCACCCUCCUCAGAACAGCCCCCGAAGUGUAGGGGCCUAGGAACGGGGCUCCAUGGACGAGCCCAGAAGAUGAACAACACCCAGCGUCCCUUUCUGAAGUGUGUCCCAGACUUCAUCUCACCUGUGCCCCUCGUGCUUCACAGGAGGAACGCGGCCGGUUUUUAUUGCUGAAGGUAGAGAUGUUGGUCUCCGUUAAGGCACGUCUGCGCACAGAGGACAAACAGCCCUGCAGGGCGUUCUGACACCCUCUCCGUUUGUAGGGAAACCAGGAAGACCACUCCUGACCAUGUCCCUAGGCCCCACGGAGCUCACCCUGGAGACUCAGCUCUUUUCUACAGGCCCCUUGGAUUCCAUUCCCAACAAAUUUCUAGGAAACAAGAAGAAUUAAGGCAAAUCUUGGUGCAACAGAGAUCAUUUAAGAGCAUAAUUAAACUAGUGUGCUUUUUUCUUUCACUUUUCUGCACUGUAUACGUGGCCUUUCCCCUAGGCAGCCAGCAAUCGUCAUUUGCCACAAGGAAGAUGAGAAUUGUCAAAAUAAAAUGCAAACUAAAGGAAGAGGCAUUAUUCAGAUUCUGACAGAAUGAGAUAUUUGCAUCUCUGCUGAGACAAUAUUUUUAAAAGCUAUGAUUGUGAGAGGAUAAAUAAAUAUGUCCUGUGAACAAGCACAUGCGUGUAUGUAUGCACACACACAUGUAUAUAUGCAUACGUUCAUUUUCUCAAUCCUGUACUCUUCUCAACAUACUAAGAAGCCCAGCCUGGAAGAGUUUAUGCAAGGUGCUGGGUAGAAGGGACUGAGGCUGUGACAAAGGAGCUGCACUGCCUCUGGGGAGGAAAGGAGGGGAGGCCUCUGAGACCCAGAAGAAGACAGUUUUAAAUAAAGAAAAGGCAGAAGUUCAAAGCCAUUGUCUUUCUUUCCAACUCCCAGGUUGGACGCUUAAGUCAGGGACGACGGAGAGUCCAGAGGAUGUGGGGCACCCACCUGACUGAGCAGAGUGGGGUCUCCUCGCUGGCCUGGCCCCCCAGCCCAGCCAGAGGGGUCCGAGCAGGUUCCUAAGUGAGCACUCAGGAAUGUGGACACAGACUCCGCAGCAUCUGGAGAUUCUGGGGUUCCCACGGAGAUCGAGCAGAGGAGGUGGGAGAAUCAGAGAAGCCAGGUUUCAGGGCAGGAGACCUCACCAUGGAGGGACCCCAGCACCCACCCUGCCAGACCCAGGCCUCCUCAACCAGCCACAGACCCAUGCUGAGCACGGUCUCGCUCAGAGAAGUGGAAGGGGAACCCAAAGGGUGAAUAUUUCCCUCCAAAAGCUGAGUCAGCCUGAAACUCAAAAGAGCCUGAAGUCCACCUGGUGGGUGGGUUUGGGGGUCUCGCUCUCCCACCUGUGUGUGAGGCAGGGCCGGUGCUUAAGGGCAAGUAAAAUGUUUUGUGGGAAACAGACAAGUCAAAUUAGAAGAACGUCCAUCUUCCUCUCAAUCAAAGCUUAAAAUCUAUGUGACAAUAUGGAGGAAUGCUUAUAAUUGAGUUAUAAACAUGGAAAUAUGUAUAAAAUUGCCCGUACAUUAUGAGUGUGACUUAUCAACCAUCCAACUGUAGAGAAAAGAUGAGAAGAAAUUAUACUGAAAUACUAGUCGUGGUGACAUCAAUGAUGGCUGUAUUAUUCACGGUCAAGGUUUUGUUGGGGGAUUUGAGCAGGAAGAAGACAGAAGGAGUAACAGGAGCAAGUCGGAUCCACAGGAGGAGACCACAUCCUGCCGCCCUGAACCCCAGCCAGGAGGCUCUUCCAGAAUUGGCAAGAUCCACUCCUCUCCCCAGGACACAGCCUAGCAGACCUGCCCAGGCCUAGCCGUGGAGCCGCCUCUAGGAAACAGGCUCUUUGGACCGGGAGGGGAGAAACGGUUGUUUCCUUCCUGCCUUCCUCUUUUCUCUGCUUCUCCCUUCUCUCCCUUUCCCUCAAGCUGUCUCUCCUUUUCUAUAUUCUCAUCAUAUAAAUGCUUUCUCUGGGGACUGGCACUUCAGGGAUUUUGCCCAAAAGUACUCCCACCAGGGGAAGCGCAGGAUGCCUUUGCUCCAGCAUCUCUAUUAGCCAAAGAGAAUAAAACAAAGUUGAAGGAUGCCCACUUCCUGGAGCUGCUGUCCAACUGUAAUUACCUUUCCGUGCAGCAAGAGCACUUUACAAGCAUCUAUCAUCCGGUAACUAGAGUCAUGGGCAUCCCAGCUGCUGAGCGUUAUUUCCCUGCAGGAGGAAAGAGAGUUUUAACAGCUACACCCUGAUUUUCUUCCUUCAGCCAGAGAGGGACAAGAAACCGUCACCCCAGCGGAGCCCCCACCAAGGGCAAUGGGGCUCACACAUUGUUAUACUGCUUUCUAAACAGUUUUGGCCAUAUGAUCUCUAAGGACAAAUUUCUAUUCCACUUUUGCACUCAAUUCUUAUUUUACAUUUGUUUCCAGAGAGACCAAGACAACACAAUAGAAAAGUUGGACUUCUAAGGAUAUAUAGACAAGAACAUAGUAUUUUUUAGAAAUUGUUCUCAAUUACAAUAGUAAACACACACUUUCAGAAUGACUCCUCAAAGGGAUUCUAAGAAGAAAUUCUAGCUGUUCACAGACCUUGACUGAAAAGGGCUGUCUUCUAUACAACCAGCUUUUCGGCUAGGACACUCAGGGAAGAUGCUCCUGGGUCCAAGAGGUGGUGCAGGAGCAGCCACAGCAUCCAGCGCAGUCUGCACUAUUUACUGAGCAUGUGUGUCUAAAGUCCCCCUGAUAAGACAUCCUGUGGUAGCGCAAUGAAGAAGACCACUUUAUCUUUUCUGUUUUUUUAAAGAUGGGCACCUGAGCUGACAUCUGUUGCCAAUCUUCUUUUCUUCUUCUCCUUCUCUUCCCCCCACCCCCAAAGGCCCCCAGUACAUAGCUGUAUAUUCUAGUUGUGAGUACCUCUGGUUGUGCUAUGUGGGACACCGCCCCACCGUGGCUCGAUGAGUGGUGCCAUGUCCACGCAGAGGAUCCAAAUCGGCAAAACCCUGGGCCACCAAAGCGAAGCACUCAAACUUAACCACUGCACCAGGGGGCUGACCCCUAGACCACUUUAUCUUGAAGGAGGUCCAGACCAGUUACUGGAGGUGUGAUGCCCCAAAGGGCCUUUCUUAUGUAGCGAGUGUUCAGAUUAGAGGAUAGAAGUCCACAGACGCUGGUGGGAGUGCAGGAGGCCACGCCGUUAAAAGAGACUUUGUGAAGUGGUGAGGAGGGCACACCUCAUGCUGGCAGAGUCAUUGCCAUCUCUGAUGGUUUGUGUUUAUACUUAGGGUGCAGAUUUGGGGGAACUCUAAUCCUGCAGCUGCAAAGCCCUGAGUGCAGAUAUGGACCCCCAGGAUGGCCCUGAGGGGGUGCCUUAAGUUGAUGAUGACAAAUAGGGAAUUUCCAAACCUCUUUU